CAGUCGUAACAAGGUUAACUUCACCCCGGAAGCCUUGGAAUACCCAGUCCACACACUACCUGUGGGCUACACCAGUCUGUUGCUUGGCCCUCUCUACCCCCUGUGGUGGAGAUCACCAGCAGCCGCUAAUUUUAGUGGUUCACAGAUCAAACACUGGUGGUCGCUAUUCGAUUAUAAUAUGACCGGUCCCCCUCUAUAAGGAGAUGGACAUUACGUUCCGUAGGUGAACCUGCGGAAGGAUCAUUACCGAGUUAGGGUCUUUCAGGCCCGACCUCCAACCCUAUGUUUAAAUUACCAUGUUGCUUUGGCGGGCCCGCCUCCAGGGGCCGCCGGGGGCUUUUAUCGCCUCUGGCCAGUGCCCGUCAGUAGCCCUUCUUAAAUUCUUUACACAGUGUCGUCUGAGUUAUAUUUAAAUCGUUAAAA
This 423-nucleotide unclassified non-coding RNA is filed under the name plant metagenome. Its description in RNAcentral is "partial contains small subunit ribosomal RNA and internal transcribed spacer 1". The record is from RNAcentral.